Molecule: long non-coding RNA, 1728 nt
Organism: Panicum hallii
Lineage: Eukaryota; Viridiplantae; Streptophyta; Magnoliopsida; Poales; Poaceae
Exons: 2
Source: RefSeq, a predicted model, not a curated record
UUUUCCAGGAGCAUGGCAUUGGUCAAAAGAAAAUGGUGUCAAAUCCUUGUGUUCCAACCAAGCUCAACGGCCAUCGUGAAUGUAAAGCCUGAAAUUGUUCCAUGUUAUCGAUUCAGAUAAAGAUCAUGGGGAUACUCCGAAUAUGAUGCUCUGUUGUCCGUCAGACUUGGGUACUUGGCCUCUGCAGAGUUGAGGCUCGGUUCAGUCUAUAUCAGGCACAAGUUCUCAACGAUCUACUUCGACCCCAUCUUGCAUCAGUCCAUCAGUCACGGAUUGCUGCAAAAACAUGCAUUGGAGCAGAGAGAUCAGGAGCAUUCGACAUCGUUGCCAACUUGCCAUCAGCCCAUCAGUGGUCAGUCAGGGAUUGGCGGUGGCUAUCAAAUGCAAUGCUGAGGGAAGAUGGAGGAAAUAACCCAGUCCAGCAGUACUCGCACUACGCCUCAGCCAUGGGCCAUGGCAAUGUCUCCGCUCCUCACGCUCCACCUCCUCGUGCUCGCCACCACCACCAUGGCCCCCGCGACACCACCGACCGCGCACUUCCUGGGCGUCAGCUACGGCACGCUGGGGGACAACCUCCCGCCCCCGCCGCCGUCCGGUUCUACGACGCCAACGCCGCCCUCCUGGCCGCGCGCGGCCGCAGCCUUGGGCCUCGUCUUCGUGCCGAGCAUCCCCAACGAGCUCAUCCCGUCGCUCGCCGCCUCCCAGCGCGUCGCGGACGCCUGGGUCUCCAACUCUCUGCUCCCGUUCCGCCGCAGCUCGGGCUUGCCUGGGAUGCCCCGCGGCGGGGCUUGCCGACGGCGGGCGCGCUCGGUUGCCAUGUCGCUGGACGGAACUUUUACACAAGACCCCCUCUUUCGUAUUGCGACUAUGAUUCGCGAUCCGAUAUUUUGCCAAGUACCCCCAGGAUCGGAUCGCGAUUAGUAGUCGCGAUCCGAUCUGAGGGUUGUUUUGCAAAAUUUAGUACAAUAUUUCUCAAAAUACCCCCAUAUUGGAUCGCGACUAUUAAUUGCGAUCCGAUAUUUAUCAGAUAGACCCCUACAAAUUUUCAUAUACACCCCUUCUUUUGGAUGGACAGCUAAUCUCUGCUCCCUCAGUCUCCCUCAUCGGCGUCCUCCGCGCCCGUCCUCCGCUUCCCGACGCCGUCGUCCUCCCCACCCUCCGAACCUUCCAGUCCAUCCCCCGCGGCAAUCCAUGGCACCAGCUUCCUUCGAGGAGCAGAAGCACGCGCGCAAUUCCCGCACCCAAAAGCGCAGCCAAGGUGGAGGCAGCGCGCUCUCCUGACGGCGGCACCCGCCGCCAGGACGCGCCGCCUUAUGCUCGUCUGCCUCCAAUCCCCAUCCGCCGGUCUCGCAGUCUACCGGUGGUGAAGCAGCAGCUACGAUUUGGAAAGUCAAGGAAGCUGUCUGGAAAUUCGUGCGUUCAUCAUCGUGUGAAUACUCUGCAAAAGUCCUGCUUGAUCGAUUAUUGCACCUUGUUGUAGCCAAUGGCAUUGGAACAAGUCUUCUCGGAAUAUGAUAGUGAUUUAGUGAAGACGAGGUUGAUGAUGAUAUUUCCGACUUUGAGGAUACAGGGGCAAGAUGGAACCAUUAUUUUGCUCUGCUCUUCAGAAUAAAAUAUCUGCUUUUGGACCAUUGCUGUUUCAACAUCGCUGAAAAUGCAGAUGCUUGACGAUUUUGUUGAUACGAAAGAUGAGAUGCAUAUGUGGAAUUCAUUAGUUCGAAAACAAAG